AGUGAACGCUGGCGGUAGGCCUAACACAUGCAAGUCGAACGGCAGCACAGUAAGAGCUUGCUCUUACGGGUGGCGAGUGGCGGACGGGUGAGGAAUACAUCGGAAUCUACUUUUUCGUGGGGGAUAACGUAGGGAAACUUACGCUAAUACCGCAUACGACCUACGGGUGAAAGCAGGGGAUCUUCGGACCUUGCGCGAUUGAAUGAGCCGAUGUCGGAUUAGCUAGUUGGCGGGGUAAAGGCCCACCAAGGCGACAAUCCGCAGCUGGUCUGAGAGGAUGGUAGGCCACACUGGAACUGAGACACGGUCCAGACUCCUACGGGAGGCAGCAGUGGGGAAUAUUGGACAAUAGGCGCAAGCCUGAUCCAGCCAUCCCGCGUGGGUGAAGAAGGCGUUCGGGUUGUAAAGCCCUUUUGUUGGGAAAGAAAAGCAGCCGGUUAAUACCCAGCGGUUCUGACGGUACCCAAAGAAUAAGCACCGGCUAACUUCGUG
This 492-nucleotide ribosomal RNA is filed under the name uncultured bacterium. Its description in RNAcentral is "partial 16S ribosomal RNA". It matches the Rfam family "Bacterial small subunit ribosomal RNA", at positions 29 to 507 of the family's 1533-position model. The record is from RNAcentral.